Molecule: ribosomal RNA, 322 nt
Filed under: Triticum aestivum (bread wheat)
Lineage: Eukaryota; Viridiplantae; Streptophyta; Magnoliopsida; Poales; Poaceae
Description: partial small subunit ribosomal RNA
Source: RNAcentral
AUUCCUGGAUCUCCCUUGGCAAAAACCAUCUCAAGUAAGUCAAGGGUGACCCUGAAGAAUGGCCACUCAUUGUACAUUUCUUUCAGAGUAUGGAUGUUCCUGAUGUCCUUCUGAAUGAUAUGUUUAAAUGCUGCACCAAACCCAAGCCAUACAGGAAGAUGAAACCUUGUCUGUGUCCAAGCAAAGAUCCAUGGAAUUGCACGGAGUGAUUCUAUGCCCCCACUAGGCUUUCUCUUCGAUGGCCGGCUGCCAAUAUUCAUCCGACCAUAUUCAGUCUCAGGUGUUGCCUGAAACAAUGGAUGCACAAGUUAGUACAAAUUAG